Molecule: ribosomal RNA, 441 nt
Filed under: uncultured bacterium
Lineage: Bacteria
Description: partial 16S ribosomal RNA
Rfam family: Bacterial small subunit ribosomal RNA
Source: RNAcentral
CCUACGUGGGGCAGCAGUGGGGAAUAUUGCACAAUGGGGGAAACCCUGAUGCAGCGACGCCGCGUGAGUGAAGAAGUAUUUCGGUAUGUAAAGCUCUAUCAGCAGGGAAGAAGAAAGACGGUACCUGUCUAAGAAGCCCCGGCUAACUACGUGCCAGCAGCCGCGGUAAUACGUAGGGGGCAAGCGUUAUCCGGAUUUACUGUGUGUAAAGGGAGCGUAGACGGGUGUGCAAGUCUGAAGUGAAAGCCCAGGGCUCAACCCUGGGACUGCUUUGGAAACUGUGGAGCUGGAGUGCUGGAGAGGUAAGUGGAAUUCCUAGUGUAGCGGUGAAAUGCGUAGAUAUUAGGAGGAACACCAGUGGCGAAGGCGGCUUACUGGACAGUAACUGACGUUGAGGCUCGAAAGCGUGGGGAGCAAACAGGAUUAGAUACCCCAGUAGUC